CGAAUCCGCGCGGGAGAGUCCCGGUCACCUGUGACCUGGACGCCGAAGGAGCAAGCUCCUCCCUUGAAUCUCUCAGGCCCCGUACCGCGCGGAUGAG
This 97-nucleotide non-coding RNA is filed under the name Streptomyces sp. Its description in RNAcentral is "Glycine sequence". It matches the Rfam family "Glycine riboswitch aptamer". Rfam says of the family: This family represents the bacterial glycine riboswitch. Glycine riboswitches usually consist of two metabolite-binding aptamers domains with similar structures in tandem. RNAcentral also lists the same sequence under 1 other name. Lineage: Bacteria; Bacillati; Actinomycetota; Actinomycetes; Kitasatosporales; Streptomycetaceae. The record is from RNAcentral.